Long non-coding RNA from Photinus pyralis (common eastern firefly), 1826 nucleotides. RefSeq lists it as uncharacterized. NCBI's taxonomy places the organism in Eukaryota, Metazoa, Arthropoda, Insecta, Coleoptera, Lampyridae. The record is from RefSeq and is a predicted model, not a curated record. The transcript has 4 exons.
AAAUGAAUCGUCUUCUGUUCUAAAGGUAUUGACAUAUAGGUAUAAUUCCGUAUUGAAAUUAAUGUACUUUUCAUUGCUUCGAAGAUGAUCACAUGGGGGAAGAUUUUCCCCGAUGAAAUUGUAAAAUAAAAUCUAAUAUGAGACAUCGACAACUCUCUGUGUUAUUACGCAAAAAAAGUGAUUUUCUCAUCCACUUUGUUGAAGAAACGUAGCCUUUUUUUUUAAAUUCGUGGAAAUUAUUUUUAAUUUGAUUUCCUUAUACGUAUCAAAUUGUAGGUUUUUUCUCAUACAACUGCUAUAGUUGCCAUGGUAUGUAUGACAACUCCCCUCAAGAAGUUGACAACUGUCGAAAGUUUGUUAAUAUUAGCGCAACUAGCAGUUGUACACGACCUGGAUAUUGCAUAUUUUAUUAUGGAGAGGUUACGAUCAACCAUAAGCCCGUUGUCAAAACGGGAAGAAUGUGUGCUACAGAACAAUGUGCUGCCAUGAAAGGAUGGACCGCAAAAAGCAUACACUGUUCGGAUUGCAAAGGCGACUAUUGCAAUACUGACAAAUAUGAUAAAUAAGAUUACUGAUUACGUUAUUGUUUUUUCUUUAACUGAUCGUCUAAACUACAAAAUGUAAUAAUUAUGUUGUAAUAUACGUACCAUUGGAAUCCAUUUUUGAGACACCUUUUUUCUCAAUCAUCAAGUCGCAGGAAGUCUGUGGUCACUAAAAUAGAGGGAGGUGUUUAUAUUCAGGCGCACUUUACAACUCUGUAGUUUGCAGUAGGUAUUUGUGACGUUAGAGUACGCAGAAAUUUAACUUUGGACGUGUUUUGGCGGUUUGCGUUGUUGAAAAUAAACUCUAAAUAUAAUAAUAAACGAAAAUGAUGAAUGAGUAUAAACUGAUCGAAUUAAUUCAAGAUGGGACACAAAUUCAGUGCAGUUCAGAAAUAAAAUUAUUAAAUUAAAUACGUGGAAUGAAAUUUCAAAACAACUAGGGGCAACUGGUGAUGACUGCCAGAAUACUUGGAAGAGGUUACGAGAUAGAUACACUCGCAAUAAAAGAUUGGCACCCUCCGGUGCAGAAGGUGCUAGGAAAAAGUGGGACAAAGAGGAUUUAUUGCGAUUUCUGGACAAGAUUUUAGUGACACGAAGAACUACAAGUUGCGCAGCUGAAUACAGUGAAAGUAAUGGAAAUACUGAAUCGCUACCAGAAACGGAACAGAUUUUCGCACAGGAAAGUGUAGAAUUGAAUGAAGUUGAAAUUUUCGAUUCUGCAAAUGCAGAGGAUACUGGUGACAAUCAUACACAGUCACUACCCAUUAACGUGGAAAUAAUCCCAGCAGAAGUUGUAGAUUUGAAGCCUACAUCCACCUGUCACUUUUCAUCUUCGUGGUCAAUUACACUAUUUAUGUAGUCAUCUCUAACUCUGAUGCACCUUAGAAAAUGAUGUAAAGCAACUGUUGCCUUAACUAUACUGUCCACAGUGGUUGGUUGUACAAAAUCGGUUUUCUUAGAAUUCUCCACCUGGACGCCAAAAUUCCAAAUGCCACUAUUCGGCGGCCCCUACUUAAUCGAUAGUUGAAAAUUCGCGAUUCUUUUGACAUUUCAUUUUUCGGAUAGGGUCUUAUAAUAUUUCUUCACAAGGGAAACGCUUCAUCAGCAACAAAAUGGCAAGGAAAAUUUUCAUUUGUGCGAGGUAAAAUGUAGUUUUUUGGAACAUUUAGGGUUUCGUUCCAUCUUGCAGCACCAAAAUUAGGAUUUCUGAACACUCCAUUAUCUCCACAAAUGCCUGUAAUAAUCCACAUUAUGUAAAAGGAAUUAUAAUGUUAUGAUGUGAUA